GACGAACGCUGGCGGCGUGCUUAACACAUGCAAGUCGAACGGAAAGGCCCUGCUUUUGUGGGGUGCUCGAGUGGCGAACGGGUGAGUAACACGUGAGUAACCUGCCCUUGACUUUGGGAUAACUUCAGGAAACUGGGGCUAAUACCGGAUAGGAGCUCCUGCUGCAUGGUGGGGGUUGGAAAGUUUCGGCGGUUGGGGAUGGACUCGCGGCUUAUCAGCUUGUUGGUGGGGUAGUGGCUUACCAAGGCUUUGACGGGUAGCCGGCCUGAGAGGGUGACCGGCCACAUUGGGACUAAGAUACGGCGCAGACUGCUACGGGAGGCAGCAGUGGAGAGUAUUGCACAGUGGGCGGAAGCGUGAGGCAACGACGCCGCGUGCGGAAUGACGGCCUUCGGGUUGUGAACCGCUUUCGCCUGUGACGAAGCGUGAGUGACGGUAAUGGGUAAAGAAGCACCGGCUAACUACGUG
This 468-nucleotide ribosomal RNA is filed under the name uncultured bacterium. RNAcentral describes it as "partial 16S ribosomal RNA". It matches the Rfam family "Bacterial small subunit ribosomal RNA", at positions 28 to 507 of the family's 1533-position model. The record is from RNAcentral.